AAAGUCGUAACAAGGUUUCCGUAGGUGAACCUGCGGAAGGAUCAUUAGUGAAUUGAGCUGGCUUCGGCCGCUCUGAUCUAUACACACCUGUGAACUGUUGGCCUUUGGGUCUUUAAUUACAACUGUGAUGAACGUAAAAUAUUAUAAUCAAUAUAACUUUUAACAACGGAUCUCUUGGCUCUC
RNAcentral lists this unclassified non-coding RNA (183 nucleotides) under Basidiomycota sp. RNAcentral describes it as "partial contains small subunit ribosomal RNA, internal transcribed spacer 1, and 5.8S ribosomal RNA". The stretch from base 1 to 47 matches the Rfam family "Eukaryotic small subunit ribosomal RNA", at positions 1785 to 1831 of the family's 1831-position model. The record is from RNAcentral. Lineage: Eukaryota; Fungi; Basidiomycota.